RNAcentral lists this ribosomal RNA (465 nucleotides) under uncultured Klebsiella sp. RNAcentral's name for it is "bacterial SSU rRNA". It matches the Rfam family "Bacterial small subunit ribosomal RNA", at positions 338 to 795 of the family's 1533-position model. Lineage: Bacteria; Pseudomonadati; Pseudomonadota; Gammaproteobacteria; Enterobacterales; Enterobacteriaceae. The record is from RNAcentral.
CCUACGGGGGGCUGCAGUGGGGGAUAUUGCACAAUGGGCGCGAGCCUGAUGCAGCCAUGCCGCGUGUGUGAAGAAGGCCUUCGGGUUGUAAAGCACUUUCAGCGGGGAGGAAGGCGUUAAGGUUAAUAACCUUGUCGAUUGACGUUACCCGCAGAAGAAGCACCGGCUAACUCCGUGCCAGCAGCCGCGGUAAUACGGAGGGUGCAAGCGUUAAUCGGAAUUACUGGGCGUAAAGCGCACGCAGGCGGUCUGUCAAGUCGGAUGUGAAAUCCCCGGGCUCAACCUGGGAACUGCAUUCGAAACUGGCAGGCUAGAGUAUUGUAGAGGGGGGUAGAAUUCCAGGUGUAGCGGUGAAAUGCGUAGAGAUCUGGAGGAAUACCGGUGGCGAAGGCGGCCCCCUGGACAAAGACUGACGCUCAGGUGCGAAAGCGUGGGGAGCAAACAGGAUUAGAUACCCGGGUAGUC